GCUGUAGCUCAGUGGUAGAUCAUCUGCUUGGUAUGCAGAAGGUCCAAGGUUCAAUCCCCAGUAUCUCCA
Molecule: transfer RNA, 69 nt
Filed under: Podarcis lilfordi (Lilford's wall lizard)
Lineage: Eukaryota; Metazoa; Chordata; Lepidosauria; Squamata; Lacertidae
Description: tRNA.Thr
Rfam family: tRNA
About the family: Transfer RNA (tRNA) molecules are approximately 80 nucleotides in length. Their secondary structure includes four short double-helical elements and three loops (D, anti-codon, and T loops).
Source: RNAcentral